This 676-nucleotide ribosomal RNA is filed under the name uncultured Bacteroidales bacterium. Its description in RNAcentral is "bacterial SSU rRNA". It matches the Rfam family "Bacterial small subunit ribosomal RNA", at positions 97 to 769 of the family's 1533-position model. The record is from RNAcentral. Lineage: Bacteria; Pseudomonadati; Bacteroidota; Bacteroidia; Bacteroidales.
GGCGCACGGGUGAGUAACACGUAUCCAACCUGCCGUCUACUCUUGGCCAGCCUUCUGAAAGGAAGAUUAAUCCAGGAUGGCAUCAUGAGUUCACAUGUCCGCAUGAUUAAAGGUAUUUUCCGGUAGACGAUGGGGAUGCGUUCCAUUAGAUAGUAGGCGGGGUAACGGCCCACCUAGUCAACGAUGGAUAGGGGUUCUGAGAGGAAGGUCCCCCACAUUGGAACUGAGACACGGUCCAAACUCCUACGGGAGGCAGCAGUGAGGAAUAUUGGUCAAUGGGCGAUGGCCUGAACCAGCCAAGUAGCGUGAAGGAUGACUGCCCUAUGGGUUGUAAACUUCUUUUAUAAAGGAAUAAAGUCGGGUAUGCAUACCCGUUUGCAUGUACUUUAUGAAUAAGGAUCGGCUAACUCCGUGCCAGCAGCCGCGGUAAUACGGAGGAUCCGAGCGUUAUCCGGAUUUAUUGGGUUUAAAGGGAGCGUAGAUGGAUGUUUAAGUCAGUUGUGAAAGUUUGCGGCUCAACCGUAAAAUUGCAGUUGAUACUGGAUGUCUUGAGUGCAGUUGAGGCAGGCGGAAUUCGUGGUGUAGCGGUGAAAUGCUUAGAUAUCACGAAGAACUCCGAUUGCGAAGGCAGCCUGCUAAGCUGCAACUGACAUUGAGGCUCGAAAGUGUGGGUAUC